Molecule: ribosomal RNA, 800 nt
Filed under: Hoplotylus femina
Lineage: Eukaryota; Metazoa; Nematoda; Chromadorea; Rhabditida; Pratylenchidae
Description: eukaryotic LSU rRNA
Rfam family: 5.8S ribosomal RNA (bases 365-518)
Source: RNAcentral
UGAACCUGCUGCCGGAUCAUUACCUGUAAAAUGAUCAUUCAUCAACUUGCCCGCCGGACCGUCUUGCGGCCGGGCUAUGUUGUUGGACAACAUCCGUCCCCCAGUUGACUGCAGCGUAUGCGCAUAUUUGCAAUGGCUGGCCAUCAGCACUGGGUGUUUGACGAGGAACGGCUGGGUUGGCGUCUGUGCGUCGUUGAGCAGUUGUAGUCCAUGUCCGUGGCUGCGAUGAGACGACGCGGUAGGGCCCGUGUCCACGAGUUGGACGUGUGGCUUAAGACUUGAUGAGCGCCCGGUUUUGCGCCGCCAACACCCCCUUUUUUUCACUACACAUUUUUCGUUCAACUGAACAGAGAGAGAACAAUUCUAGUCUUAUCGGUGGAUCACUCGGCUCGUAGGUCGAUGAAGAACGCAGCCAGCUGCGAUAAAUAGUGUGAACUGCAGAAACCUUGAACACUGAACAUUCGAAUGCACAUUGCGCCAUUGGAGUUUUGUCCUUUGGCACGCCUGGUUCAGGGUCGUUAAACGAAAGCGCACUGCUUGUGCGUGCACUGUGUGUGCGAUCACUUUCCCGCCCGUGCGACAGUGUUCGUGCAUCGAUUGGUUGGCUCGCCAGUGGUGCAUCGCUGGGUUCGUGAGCGCACGGGUCCUAUAUACGUUCACAAUGCCGGUGUUGUUUGCCAGCGAACCGACUCGUGUGACGCUCCGCGAUCUCGCUGCAUCUCGAGGCACUUUUGCCUGGACACCACUUUUGAAUUUCGACCUGAACUCAGACGUGAAUACCCGCUGAAUUUAAGCAUAUA